This is a small nucleolar RNA of Lethenteron reissneri (Far Eastern brook lamprey), 70 nucleotides long. RefSeq annotates it as small nucleolar RNA R38. Lineage: Eukaryota; Metazoa; Chordata; Hyperoartia; Petromyzontiformes; Petromyzontidae. The record is from RefSeq and is a predicted model, not a curated record.
UGAAGCCAAUGAUGCUUUGAGUUAUCCCUGUCUGAAAUGUGUGUGGACAGUAACACAAUCUGAGGCUUUA